Long non-coding RNA from Cydia splendana, 659 nucleotides. RefSeq lists it as uncharacterized. The transcript is spliced from 3 exons. The record is from RefSeq and is a predicted model, not a curated record. NCBI's taxonomy places the organism in Eukaryota, Metazoa, Arthropoda, Insecta, Lepidoptera, Tortricidae.
UCUAUUUUGAAAUCCAUAAAACAGUGGUACUAGACGCUCUUUUUAUGGAUUUUCAAAAGAAAACCAAAGCUAACUACGACAGAGUGAUGUCUCGCGUGUUUAACCGGUCACAUGCUAGUCUAAGAUCCACUUCAAAUGUGACACGACACGAAGUACCAUCAUCAGUGCGCGUUGGCGCGAAACCGUCUGUUUCGGCCGUGAGUUCUAGUGUUUUUAGUGAACUUCCGACGGUGUUAAAUGACUAUGUGCCCGAAGUGCGUGUAGAAAAAGUAGUUAAAAGGCCGUUAGUAAGGCCUAGAAGGACUUUAAAGUCUCUGGACCCUGGUAAAGCUAAGUCUCCUUCGAGGCCGUCUCGAGCGCGCGGAAGUGGCAAUGUUAGUAAUAUUAGGGCUCGUAGCUCGGUGCCUACGGUGUUGAGUAAUAACGAAGAGCAGUGGUCAGAGUCUCACGUUCGACAAUGCUAUAGUAGCAGGUCUCAUACCAGACUGAAGGAAUUGAAGGAUGAAAUAAAAGCUUUCCGUGAGACAGAUAAGCUGUUGAAGAUACGCAGUCACCUUUAUAAGAGCUGCGGAGUGGUGCUCGAUGAUGUUGGGAACGUCGCUCAAAACAAGGCGGUCCAGGCUGACCCCGAACCAGAAAAGGAAAUUACAUCAUCAAGG